RNAcentral lists this long non-coding RNA (1203 nucleotides) under Oryctolagus cuniculus (rabbit). RNAcentral describes it as "lncRNA (ENSOCUG00000032754.1)". The record is from RNAcentral. Lineage: Eukaryota; Metazoa; Chordata; Mammalia; Lagomorpha; Leporidae.
AUGCCCUCCUCAUCCCCCAGGGCCAGUGCCUGCUCUCCUCCUUGCCCCCCAGAGCCUCCGCCUACUCCCUAUGCUGCCCACCAAGGCCAAAGCCCACUGCUCUCAGCACCUUGUAGGACUGGACCUGCUCCACUCCUAGGUCUCCAGGGAUUGCACUCCACUCCCCACGCUGCCCUCCAGGGCCCGGCCCCACUCCCCUCAACACCCUCCAGGGCCAGGACCAGCUCCCCUCCUCACCCUCCAGGGCCUGGGCUCCGCUCCCCAUGCUGCCCUCCAGGGCCAAAACCCACUCCACACACUGACCUCCAGGGCCGGCCCCACUACCCUCAACGCCCUCCAGGGUUGGACCCUGCUCCACUCUUCGCCCUCCAGGGCCGGGCUCGGCUCCCCACCUUACCUUCCAGGGCCUGCCCCGCACUGCUCAAAGCCGUCCAGAGCAGGACCCCACUCACCACCUCAUCCCCCGUGGCCUGGGCCACACUCCACUCCUCACCCUCCAGGUCUGGACCCAUUCCCAUGGCAGCCCUCCAGGGUCGUGCCCCACUUCCCUCAACACUCUAUAGGGCCGGACCCUGUUCCCCUCCUCGAGCUCCAGGGCCAGGCCCCACUCCCCACACUGUCCUCCAGGGACAGGCCCCUAUACCCUCAACGCCCUCCAGGGCUGGUCCCUGUUCCCCUUCUCGCCCCCCCAGGGCCAGGCCCUGCUCCCCUCCUGGCCUCCAGGGCCAGGUUCCCACACCCACACCCACACCCCUGCUCACCCUCGUGGACAAGGGCCCCACUCCAAUCCUCGCCCUCCAAGGCCGGGCUCUGCUCCCCUCCUCACCCUCCAGGGCCUGGGCCCUGCCACCCCACGCUACUAUCCAGGGCCGGGCCCCACUACCCUCAAGGCAUUCCAGGGCCGGACACUGCUCCCCUCCUCACCCUCCAGGGCCUGGGCCCUGCCGCCCCACGCUACUAUCCAGGGCCGGGCCCCACUACUCUCAAGGCCCUCCCGGCCUGGACACUGCUGUCCUCCUCACCCUCCAGGGCCUGGACCCACUCACCUCACCCCCCUCCAGGGCCAGACCCUGCUCCCCUCCUGGCCGUUCAGGGCCUGGUCCCCGCACCCCUCCUCGCCCUCCAGGGCCUGGGCCCUGCUCUUUUCAAUGCCCUCCAGGUCCAGACCCAGUGCCCUCAACGCGCUAUAGGGCCACACCCUGA